RNAcentral lists this ribosomal RNA (1477 nucleotides) under uncultured bacterium. RNAcentral's name for it is "bacterial SSU rRNA". It matches the Rfam family "Bacterial small subunit ribosomal RNA". The record is from RNAcentral.
GAUUGAACGCUGGCGGCAGGCCUAACACAUGCAAGUCGAGCGGUAGCACAGAGAGCUUGCUCUCGGGUGACGAGCGGCGGACGGGUGAGUAAUGUCUGGGAAACUGCCUGAUGGAGGGGGAUAACUACUGGAAACGGUAGCUAAUACCGCAUAACGUCGCAAGACCAAAGUGGGGGACCUUCGGGCCUCAUGCCAUCAGAUGUGCCCAGAUGGGAUUAGCUAGUAGGUGGGGUAACGGCUCACCUAGGCGACGAUCCCUAGCUGGUCUGAGAGGAUGACCAGCCACACUGGAACUGAGACACGGUCCAGACUCCUACGGGAGGCGGCAGUGGGGAAUAUUGCACAAUGGGCGCAAGCCUGAUGCAGCCAUGCCGCGUGUGUGAAGAAGGCCUUCGGGUUGUAAAGCACUUUCAGCGGGGAGGAAGGCGUUAAGGUUAAUAACCUUGGCGAUUGACGUUACCCGCAGAAGAAGCACCGGCUAACUCCGUGCCAGCAGCCGCGGUAAUACGGAGGGUGCAAGCGUUAAUCGGAAUUACUGGGCGUAAAGCGCACGCAGGCGGUCUGUCAAGUCGGAUGUGAAAUCCCCGGGCUCAACCUGGGAACUGCAUUCGAAACUGGCAGGCUAGAGUCUUGUAGAGGGGGGUAGAAUUCCAGGUGUAGCGGUGAAAUGCGUAGAGAUCUGGAGGAAUACCGGUGGCGAAGGCGGCCCCCUGGACAAAGACUGACGCUCAGGUGCGAAAGCGUGGGGAGCAAACAGGAUUAGAUACCCUGGUAGUCCACGCCGUAAACGAUGUCGAUUUGGAGGUUGUGCCCUUGAGGCGUGGCUUCCGGAGCUAACGCGUUAAAUCGACCGCCUGGGGAGUACGGCCGCAAGGUUAAAACUCAAAUGAAUUGACGGGGGCCCGCACAAGCGGUGGAGCAUGUGGUUUAAUUCGAUGCAACGCGAAGAACCUUACCUGGUCUUGACAUCCACAGAACUUUCCAGAGAUGGAUUGGUGCCUUCGGGAACUGUGAGACAGGUGCUGCAUGGCUGUCGUCAGCUCGUGUUGUGAAAUGUUGGGUUAAGUCCCGCAACGAGCGCAACCCUUAUCCUUUGUUGCCAGCGGUUCGGCCGGGAACUCAAAGGAGACUGCCAGUGAUAAACUGGAGGAAGGUGGGGAUGACGUCAAGUCAUCAUGGCCCUUACGACCAGGGCUACACACGUGCUACAAUGGCAUAUACAAAGAGAAGCGACCUCGCGAGAGCAAGCGGACCUCAUAAAGUAUGUCGUAGUCCGGAUUGGAGUCUGCAGCUCGACUCCAUGAAGUCGGAAUCGCUAGUAAUCGUAGAUCAGAAUGCUACGGUGAAUACGUUCCCGGGCCUUGUACACACCGCCCGUCACACCAUGGGAGUGGGUUGCAAAAGAAGUAGGUAGCUUAACCUUCGGGAGGGCGCUUACCACUUUGUGAUUCAUGACUGGGGUGAAGUCGUAACAAGG